Molecule: ribosomal RNA, 423 nt
Filed under: uncultured bacterium
Lineage: Bacteria
Description: bacterial SSU rRNA
Rfam family: Bacterial small subunit ribosomal RNA
Source: RNAcentral
UCUUACGCAAUGGACGAAAGUCUGACGGAGCAACGCCGCGUCAGUGAUGAAGGCGUUCGGGUCGGAAAACGCUGUUGUUAGGGAAGAACAAGUGCUAGUUGAAUAAGCUGGCACCUUUACGGUACCUAACCAGAAAGCCACGGCUAACUACGUGCCAGCAGCCGCGGUAAUACGUAGGUGGCAAGCGUUAUCCGGAAUUAUUGGGCGUAAAUCGCGCGCAGGUGGUUUCUUAAGUCUGAUGUGAAAGCCCACGGCUCAACCGUGGAGGGUCAUUGGAAACGGGGAGACUUGAGUGCAGAAGAGGAAAGUGGAAUUCCAUGUGUAGCGGUGAAAUGCGUAGAGAUAUGGAGGAACACCAGUGGCGAAGGCGACUUUCUGGUCUGUAACUGACACUGAGGCGCGAAAGCGUGGGGAGCAAACAGG